GACGAACCGUGCGAACGUUAUUCGGAAUCACUGGGCCUAAAGCGCGUGUAGGCGGCCCGGUAAGUCCGCUGUGAAAGUCGGGGGCUCAACCCUCGAAUGCCGGUGGAUACUGUCGGGCUAGAGUGCGGGAGAGGCGAGUGGAAUUCCUGGUGUAGCGGUGAAAUGCGCAGAUAUCAGGAGGAACACCAAUUGCGAAGGCAGCUCGCUGGAACGUAACUGACGCUGAGACGCGAAAGCGUGGGGAGCAAACAGG
This 253-nucleotide ribosomal RNA is filed under the name uncultured bacterium. RNAcentral describes it as "partial 16S ribosomal RNA". It matches the Rfam family "Bacterial small subunit ribosomal RNA", at positions 524 to 776 of the family's 1533-position model. The record is from RNAcentral.